This 1918-nucleotide ribosomal RNA is filed under the name Stenotrophomonas maltophilia. RNAcentral's name for it is "bacterial LSU rRNA". It matches the Rfam family "Bacterial large subunit ribosomal RNA", at positions 923 to 2828 of the family's 2925-position model. The record is from RNAcentral. Lineage: Bacteria; Pseudomonadati; Pseudomonadota; Gammaproteobacteria; Lysobacterales; Lysobacteraceae.
GGGGUCAUCGCGACUUACCAAACCAUUGCAAACUCCGAAUACCGAGACGGACUGUAUGGGAGACACACGGCGGGUGCUAACGUCCGUCGUGAAAAGGGAAACAACCCAGACCCACAGCUAAGGUCCCAAAUUUUGUGCUAAGUGGAAAACCAUGUGGAAAGGCACAGACAGCCAGGAGGUUGGCUUAGAAGCAGCCACCCUUUAAAGAAAGCGUAAUAGCUCACUGGUCGAGUCGGUCUGCGGGGAAGAUUUAACGGGGCUAAGCACAGAACCGAAGCUUGGGGUGCAUAACUUUGUUAUGCGCGGUAGAGGAGCGUUCCGUAAGCCGUUGAAGGUGGAUUGAGAAGUCUGCUGGAGGUAUCGGAAGUGCGAAUGCUGACAUGAGUAACGAUAAUGCGGGUGAAAAACCCGCACGCCGAAAGCCCAAGGUUUCCUUGCGCAACGUUAAUCGGCGCAGGGUGAGUCGGCCCCUAAGGCGAGGACGAAAGUCGUAGUCGAUGGGAAGCAGGUUAAUAUUCCUGCACCUCGCGUAAGUGCGAUGGAGGGACGGAGAAGGUUAGGUGUACCAGGCGUUGGUUGUCCUGGGGAAAGGCGGUAGGUUUGGAUCUUUGGCAAAUCCGGGAUCCUUUAAGACCGAGCACCGAGACGAGCCUUUAUGGCAAAGUCACUGAUACCACGCUUCCAGGAAAAGCUCCUAAGCUUCAGCUUACGCAGACCGUACCGUAAACCGACACAGGUGGGUAGGAUGAGAAUUCUCAGGCGCUUGAGAGAACUCGGGUGAAGGAACUAGGCAACAUGGCACCGUAACUUCGGGAGAAGGUGCACCCUUUUUGGUGGCUCGUGCGAGCUAUAGCUGAAGAGGGUCGCAGUAACCAGGCCGCUGCGACUGUUUAUCAAAAACACAGCACUCUGCAAACACGAAAGUGGACGUAUAGGGUGUGACGCCUGCCCGGUGCUGGAAGGUUAAUUGAUGGGGUCAGCCGCAAGGCGAAGCUCUUGAUCGAAGCCCCAGUAAACGGCGGCCGUAACUAUAACGGUCCUAAGGUAGCGAAAUUCCUUGUCGGGUAAGUUCCGACCUGCACGAAUGGCGUAACGACAGCGGCGCUGUCUCCACCCGAGACUCAGUGAAAUUGAAAUCGCUGUGAAGAUGCAGCGUUCCCGUGGCAAGACGGAAAGACCCCGUGAACCUUUACUAUAGCUUUACACUGAACGUUGAGUUCGUCUGUGUAGGAUAGGUGGGAGGCUAUGAAACCAUGGCGCUAGCUGUGGUGGAGCCAUCCUUGAAAUACCACCCUGUCGUGCUUGACGUUCUAACCUGGGCCCAUUAUCUGGGUCGGGGACCGUGUAUGGUGGGUAGUUUGACUGGGGCGGUCUCCUCCUAAAGAGUAACGGAGGAGCUCGAAGGUACGCUCAGCGCGGUCGGACAUCGCGCACUGUGUGCAAAGGCAUAAGCGUGCUUGACUGCAAGAUCGACGGAUCAAGCAGGUAGGAAACUAGGACUUAGUGAUCCGGUGGUUCUGUAUGGAAGGGCCAUCGCUCAACGGAUAAAAGGUACUCCGGGGAUAACAGGCUGAUACCGCCCAAGAGUUCAUAUCGACGGCGGUGUUUGGCACCUCGAUGUCGGCUCAUCACAUCCUGGGGCUGUAGUCGGUCCCAAGGGUAUGGCUGUUCGCCAUUUAAAGUGGUACGCGAGCUGGGUUCAGAACGUCGUGAGACAGUUCGGUCCCUAUCUGCCAUGGGCGUUGGAGAUUUGAGAGGGGCUGCUCCUAGUACGAGAGGACCGGAGUGGACGAACCUCUGGUGUUCCGGUUGUCACGCCAGUGGCAUUGCCGGGUAGCUAUGUUCGGAAGCGAUAACCGCUGAAAGCAUCUAAGCGGGAAGCGCGCCUCAAGAUGAGAUCUCCCGGGGCACAAGCCCC